GUACAUGUGAUAAGAUCAAGAAUAAAAAAAAAAAACAUGUGUAACGGCGGAUAUGUAAAGCUAGCUCAUGUACACGUAAUAUAACGUUUGUGCUUUUAUUGUGGUAACUUCCUGUGUGACCGGAAGUGAACGAUAUAACGGUAACUAGCUUGAUGCACAAAAAAGACGGAAGAAAGCGGAAAACUAAUGCUAACGGAGAAAAGGGAGAGAAGGACACGGUUAAACUGUAUAAAAAUCAAUGGUUCUAGCUACAGUCGACAGGGGAACAAGGUUUGUAAUGUACAUGAUUUAAUUUGAAUAAUGUGAAACGCACGACAUGUAUUGUAUAGUUUAAUAGAAAACGGUUAGACCAGCGUAAUGAGCGGUUAAAAUGGUGUUACAUUAAUAACAUGGCAAUUGUUUUAUUUGUUUGUCUAGCUCUUACGUUGGUUCGUUGUCUGAUACACGGCAAGGAACAAUAAAGGUCAUUCAACAACCAUCAGUUCUGGCCUUCUCAGUUCGACUGGAUGCUACAGUAAGAGCUUGACCGCCGCCAUUUUGCUACACCACGAGGGCUCAAGGUUUAACGACAAUUCCCACGACGUCCAGCGGAUGGCAGAUGCAGGUCAGAGAAUAAAACGGUGAAAGGCAUAAGGAAAAUAAAGUUAAAAUGGAGGAUUCAGAAGAAGACAUUAACGAACAGUUUGCAAACAAAGAAAAAAUAUUAAAUGAGCUGCAAGAUAAAGCUCAAAGUGACUCCGCGGUUCCAAGGCGUUCAGAAAGAGCCAAGGUGCCAACAGAAAAAAUGCUAACUUAUCAGAGAGAAGAGAUAAGUAAAAAAGAAAAAAGACUAUUAACUCUUUAUGAACAAUGGAAAAUACGAGUGCGAGAAACAAGAGAAAGAUUAAAGUUGGACAUUUCAGAGAAAGAAAUGGCAGAUCUUGCAGAUGAUGUAGAGCAAAGAAAAGAUGAACUGCUAAAGUUGUACACUGAAAUGAGAAGUCACAUUGCACCUUCAUCAGACAUACGAAGAAAAACCGAUGCAUGUGAAGCAGUUACUCAUGACAUUGUGAAAGUCAUCCUGGAAAGAAUAAGUGGUGUAGAUGGAGACUUUGAUGCAGAAUAUGAAAGAAAACGUCUACGCAGACUAUUAGAACAUGAUUAUGCCCAAUCCAUCUAUGGUUCAACUGCAGCAUCGAAACGUAGCCAACUGUCUUCAGCCUCACAUCUUGCUUCAAAACGAGCAGAUGCAGCAGCAGAACUAGCAGCGAAAGAAGCGGAGUACAAGAUUGUACAAGAGGAACAAAGACAAAAGGAAAAGAUAAAGGCUCUAGAAGAGGAGCAUAAGAAACAAAUGGCAGUUCAAACAUCAGAGUUGGAACGCCUGAAAGCCGAAAGGGAGGUGGAAGCCGCUCGCGCCAGGUUGGACGUCUACAACAGAGAGUUAUCGCAACUUGAUGAUGCAUAUUCAGUAAAGACGGAAAGGGUGAACCCAGAGCAUACACCCAAACACACUGUACCAUCAUGCACCAUACCGGCGCCAACAGCCCCUCCUAGCGUCAGCCAGCUUGCGCAGGCGGUACAAGACAGCAUAAGAAUAAAUAGACUCCCCACGCCAGAACCAACAAUGUUUAGUGGUGAGCCAAUAAAAUUUAUUGAAUGGAAAUCCACUUUCAUGUCACUUAUUGAACAAACUGGCAUGGCAGCAGCAGAUAAACUGUACUAUCUAAAAAGGUAUGUAACUGGCUCAGCUCGCAAGUGCCUUGAAGGGACUUUCUUCAGAAAUGAUGAAGAAGCAUAUAACGACGCUUGGACAAAGUUAAACCAAAGGUAUGGCCAGCCAUUUGUGCUACAAAGGGCAUUUAGAGAGAAGUUAUCUGGUUGGCCUAAAAUACAGUCGAGAGAUGCUGAUGGGCUAAGGAACUUUGCUGAUUUUGUGAAUGCAUGCACACUUGCCAUGCCUCAUGUGAAAGGACUACAAAUACUCAAUGACUGUGAAGAAAAUCAGAAACUGUUGCAUAAACUGCCAGACUGGAUAAACACAAGAUGGAACAGGCAUGUAACAAAGAUACUCAUGGACGGUGGUGAAUUCCCCAGCUUCAGUGAAUUUGCCUCCUUUCUCUCACUUGAAGCAGAAGUAGCAUGCAACCCAGUCACUUCCAUACAUGCACUUCGCUCUACGGAAACGAAUGAUGACAAAAGAAACACAAGAGAAGUCAAAAGAAACAAGGCAAGUGUAUUCAACAUUAACACAACUGAACGAGAUGCAAAGACUAAAAUACACAACAAUUCUUCAUGCACACUGUGCCAAGAGUCGCAUCCACUUAUAAAGUGCCCAGACUUCCUGCAAAUGACUCUGGAAAUGAAAAGGAAACAUGUAAAGGAUAAUAAGCAUUGUUAUGGUUGUUUAAAACAAGGUCAUAGUGCUAAGGACUGCAGACGGCGCCUCACUUGUGAAACCUGCACUAAGAGACACCCGACCUGUCUUCACGAUGAGAACUACAGCAUUAGUCUGCAAAGAGAAAGGCAAGAUCAAGUGAGUAUAGACAACGCAACACAAGGGAACUCACCUGAAAGUGCAACAGCCAUGGCGUUAAAUGUCGCUAGAGCAGAACACACAGUCAGUACCUCCAUGAUAGUCCCAGUAUGGGUCUCAACGGCUGCUAAUCCACAAAGGGAAAAACUAGUCUAUGCGCUACUAGACACACAGAGUGACACAGUUUUUAUAGAUCAGGAUGUAACACAGAAACUGCAAGCAAAUGUGUGCCCUGUAAAACUCAAACUAACCACAAUGAUGGGUAAAAACGCAGUAGUAAGCAGCGGAAAGGUGUGUGAUCUUCUAGUAAGAGGUUACAAUUCAGCAACAGUGCUAAGGCUCCCAACUGCUUAUACAAAGGACUACAUACCUGCAAAUAGAGAACACAUACCAACAUGUGAAACAGCAAAACUGUGGAGUCAUUUGUCAUCCAUCGUAGAUGAGAUCCCACCGCUCCUCAGUUGUGAGGUGAGUCUCCUGAUUGGUUAUACUUGUCCCCAAGCUCUGGCGCCCAGACAAGUGAUCUUAGGCAAAGACAAUGAGCCAUAUGCCAUCCAAACUGAUUUAGGAUGGAGCAUAGUUGGCAACUCAGUGCCAUGCAAUGCAUUAGAGACAACAAGGAGUCUCUGUCACAGAAUAACUGUUAAAGAAAUGCCUCCAUGUACUCCUGCAGAUGCAAUACGUGCACUAGAAAAGGACUUUAAAGAAAACGAAAUAAACGAAAAGAUGGUGUCUCAAGACGACCUUAGGUUUCUUGAGAAACUUGAACAAGGCAUAACACAAACAGAGAAGGGACAUUAUGAAAUGCCAUUGCCAUUUAAAGAAAGGCCACAAAUGCCAGAUAACAGACAACUCACCGAGAGCAGACUCAAUAAGCUCAACAGUAAACUAAUGUGUGAUGAAAAAUACAAAAAGGACUGUGUCACAUACAUGAAUGACAUUAUACAAAGGGUUGACGUUGAAGAGACUAAUGAUAAUGGACCUGAAGGUGAGACACGAAACAAUGCUGCACCACGGCAAUGGUUCUAUGUACCGACGAGUGAAAAUCCCGCUGACAUAGCAUCAAGAGGCACAUCAGUAGGGGAACUGCUAUCAUCAAACUGGCUCACAGACCCUCAAUUCUUAUGGGAAAAGAAGUUAAAUCUUCCAACUAAAGAGUCUAUUGAACUUUUGGUGGGAGAUCCAGAGGUGAGAAAAGUGCAAACACUCAACAGCCAAACUACAGAACACAGAAGUCUCUGUGACCGUCUCACAAGAUUCUCAUCCUGGUCACACGCUGUCAGUGCCAUAGCACGUCUCAAACGGUUCCUACUCAGAGACAAAUCAAAGUCACUCAGCACUGUAACUGAAAGACAAAACGCUGAAAUGGUGAUUAUCAAAGACUUACAAGGACUAACAUUUUCAGAUGAGAUAAAGACAUUAAGCAAAGGAAAGGCACUACAUGAGAGCAACAAAAUGUACAACUUGGAUCCUUUCUUGGACGAAGACAAUGUGCUCAAGGUGGGAGGAAGGCUGCAACACUCAUCGCUUCCUAACACGUUCAAACAUCCAACUGUCAUUCCAAGAGACCAUCAUAUUACAAAACUCAUAAUCGCUCACUGUCACAAAAGAACAAACCAUCAAGGAAAGAGCUUCACAAUGAACGAAAUACGGUCCAGCGGUUAUUGGAUUCCCAAGUUAAGUCAAACAGUAUCAGACUACAUCCAUCAGUGUGUGACGUGUCGGAGACUAAGAAGAGCUGUGGAAGGACAAAAAAUGAAAGAUCUCCCCACAGAAAGAGUCGAACAAUCUCCGCCUUUCACAUACUGUGGUAUGGAUGUUUUCGGCCCGUUCCUAACCAAACAAGCAAGAAAAGAAAACAAAAGGUACGCUCUCCUUUUCACUUGUUUCUAUUUACGAGCAGUACACGUAGAAAUGUUAGAAGACCUGACUACGGACGGUUUCAUUAAUGGACUAAGGUGCUUUAUAGCUCUGAGAGGCUCUGUCAGACAAAUAAAAUGUGAUCGAGGUACUAACUUUGUAGGUGCCAAAAAUGAACUGUGCGCAGCACUGAAUGAAAUAAAAAACUGACAACCUUUCUAUCUGAAAAACAAUGUGAUUUUGUGUUUAACACACCCCAUGCUAGUCACGCAGGUGGAGUAUGGGAACGACAAAUUCGGACUGUGAGAAACGUCCUCAACGCCACACUUGCUCUCGCAAAGAGACGACUCACUGAUUCAUCGCUCAGAACCUUUCUCUAUGAAGCAGCUGCAAUAGUAAACAGCCGCCCGUUGACGACAGACAAUCUCAAUGAUCCAAACAGUUUGAAACCAAUAACUCCAAAUCAUCUCCUAACUAUGAAAACCACAACAGCCUUGCCUCCUCCAGGACAGUUUGUUAAAGAGGAUCUGUAUGCUCGAAAGCAAUGGCGCCAGGUACAAUACCUAACAGAGCAAUUUUGGAGCAGAUGGAAGAGAGAAUAUCUUCACAACAUCAGGGUUCGGCAGAGAUGGCAUGCUGCUAAAGGGAAUAUGCAAGUAGGUGACAUAGUGAUGGACAAGGAUGAAAUACUGCCACGAUCCCAAUGGAGAUUUGGUAGAGUUGUGGACACCAUAACAGAUGAAGAUGGACUUGUGAGAAAGGUCAAAGUAACCUUUGCAGACAGAAACCUUAGUAAAAAGGGUGAACGUUUACAUAAGAUGUCUACAGUAGAACGCCCAGUUCAUAAGUUGGUUCUGCUGUUGUGAAGAGCAAAAUGUUGUAAGAAGUUAAAGUGCAAUGAAAAGUAGUUGUUGCAUAUAAAUAGGUAUUAUCAUUGUUAAGUUACCUGUUUGGAAAUUAUUUGUGUUUUAUUUUGUUUGUAACAGCAAAUAAUUUGGUGGGAGUGUAACGGCGGAUAUGUAAAGCUAGCUCAUGUACACGUAAUAUAACGUUUGUGCUUUUAUUGUGGUAACUUCCUGUGUGACCGGAAGUGAACGAUGUAACGGUAACUAGCUUGAUGCACAAAAAAGACGGAAGAAAGCGGAAAACUAAUGCUAACGGAGAAAAGGGAGAGAAGGACACGGUUAAACUGUAUAAAAAUCAAUGGUUCUAGCUACAGUCGACAGGGGAACAAGCUCUUACGUUGGUUCGUUGUCUGAUACA
This is an RNA transcript of Oreochromis niloticus (Nile tilapia), 5638 nucleotides long. RefSeq lists it as uncharacterized. Lineage: Eukaryota; Metazoa; Chordata; Actinopteri; Cichliformes; Cichlidae. The record is from RefSeq and is a predicted model, not a curated record. The transcript is spliced from 2 exons.